CUUUCCCUGAAGAAGAGGAGGAUAUUUAUAGCCAGGGAUGGGUCUUCCCAGAGUCUUCUCCCCCGCUGUGAGACCUUGUGUACUGGAUGAGGAAGCACAGGGCAGGUGAUGAAGGAAGGGCGAUGAUGCUGGGCUAUGUCGUGGUUCUCACCAGAAGCAUCUGGGCUCGGAGAGGUGGAGGACACCCCAAGCCCACGAGGCUGAGACCUGGCGGCGGACUCGAGAGGGGGGAAUAAAAUGCUCAAAUGUCAGCUUCUGAAUGGACUAUUAGAGGCCAAGGCAAAGACCAACUGCUCCUUCGUCUCUGUGCGUGGGUGCCCGCAUGCACAUAACCACGAUGCAGGGCAAGCUCUGCUCCUCCCUUCUGGCCUGGGUUGCAAUGAUGGAUUAAGUAGGUUUAGCUGUUGGAGGAUACGUCUUGUGUAGUCCACGGUCUCCAAGCAUUUUAAAAGGAAACUAACACAGCGUCUCUCCCAGGCCCCUGCGCUGACCAGACUGAUGCUGGCGAGCAAUUUGGAGGCCAGUCAUGUCCCACAGGGUGGCUGCAGGACACGUUGCCUCGUGUGGCCGCCGUGAUCAGCUGGACUGCUUCUGGGGAGGGGGGCACGCUGGCACGCGAGAUGGCCCUUCAAAGUGGCGCUGAAGUUAGGGGGGUGCUCUCUGAUCCCGGUCCGUGAGGCCCCCGUUCCUGCCCUGACCUCCCCGUGCGUUACGGGAGGAGUUUGCUUUCAAUCUGGAAACAUCUGGCGCUUUCUCUUCUUUUGCCAGCACCAUUAAAUGUCGCCUUGGAGGGAAACACAAUACAUCACCUUCCUCGUGGGCUGCCAUUCAGCCAAGAGUAACAGAGAUUAGCCUUCAAUCACACGGGAGCUGGAGCUGAAGGAAACCUUCCCGAGGACACGUUGGAGAAACAUUUUCAUUAGCAGAGGAGAACUUGACAGAGACGAAGGGCCCCUUCACCUCGACUGCCGGACCUCUCCCCUGCCUGGCGUUAACAGGACAGGGAGAUGCUAACGGAGGAGCUGGUGCCAGCUGCAACACUUUAAGUGCUGUUUGCAUCCAGAUGUGAGAAACAGCUGUGACACAGUGAGGCAGUGCUUUUAUAGCCUGGUGGGGGUGGCUUUGGUUUUUUUCCUGCCUAUCGAUGAACACUCCCUGCUGGAAGCAAACUGGCUCUUUCUGUGCCAUCAGUUGAACGGAGGAAAUGGGUGCUAGGUUUUGAGCUGCGUACCUAAAUGUGUACCCUAGCAUGGGCCAGAAAAAGAUGUCCUUGGGUGAUAAGGACCAAUAGGUCCAGGAGGUAUUGUGCAAAUUUAACAGGACUGCCUUUGUGGUAGUGGAGGCUUUCUCUGCUCUAUGGAAAGCUGUUCCACAGCCCACUGUUGCAGGUAUCUGCUCUUAGUCUGCAUCCCCCCAGGGCAGUCAGGAUGCCCAGGAUUCGCUUCUGCUGUUGAACUCUCCCUUGUGUGGCAGAAACACACCCUGGGCCCCAGCUGGGUGCCUGGCACAGACCUGUCUGUCCUGGUUACUGGGAAUUAGCCAGCAGGAUCCCUGCGACCGGCGUCUGCCGUCCUCCCCCUCGCCUCCCUGGGGCUGGCGGGCUCCUGACAACCGCAGGUUCCCUCUCUUUCACUCACAGCUGAAGGAUGCCUUGCCUGGUCCUGUCUUGCAGAUCAUUCUCCCUUUGGGGCUGCCUGCAAUACUGCAUUAACAUCACAUCUCUGUGGUGAAGGUAAGCUGGUGCUCAGCUCUCCCCAGGAGCUGUCAUCUCUCCUUGCUCUCUGGGUGCCCACCACACACACAACCCUCUGAGAAGAGUCUCCCUGGCUGGGAGGGCGACAGGCUCAGAGAUGUUCAUGUCUUCUGGCAUGGGUUUUAUCAGGAAUAUGAUUUGAGCUUCCUGAGAGGGAGGUGAUGUAACCUGGCAGCUAGAGCAUUGGUUUGGGACACAAAAUCAGGUGGCUACUGGUUUUGGAGCAUUCUCACAUUAAGGUACCUCUCACUUCCCCCUCCUUCCUUUCAGAAGUGAGAGCAACCAAAAUUAGAGGAAAACCUGGCUCCUGAGUAUUUUUCCUCCCCGAUCUCUUCACCUGGCUUAUUUUCCUUUUUCUCCUACAAUCUCAGCUGGCUGAGUUGCAGUGCCAGCCUAUUGAAAGGAAAGGCACGUGCUGGCUUACGGAGGAAGAGAGACCUGAGACAGGAUAAAUCUGGAGGCAAUGAGAUUGGGGGAAGGCAAGUCAGCUGCUCUGACACUUUUAUUAUGGAGCCAGGCUGCUUGGGAAUGAAUCUUUCUUGAAGCAUAUGUUGCUGGAUGACAUUUCUACCAGGUCUCGGCAGUAACCUCCAGCAAGCCUCAGUGCCCAGCCCUGUGCUCGCCUGCUCCCAGGGCAAGGGGAGCAAAUUUCAGCUGGAAAUACCACAGGCAGCAGGGCUCAACGGUGCUCGAUGCACCUCUGAUGAGUCUGAAAGCACCUGGACUUUAGCACCAGGAAUUCUUCAGGCUUUGGUGACUUUAGCUUACAGAUGCACAUAUUGUUUUACAAGGG
This is a long non-coding RNA of Tyto alba (common barn owl), 2546 nucleotides long. RefSeq lists it as uncharacterized. The transcript is spliced from 7 exons. The record is from RefSeq and is a predicted model, not a curated record. Lineage: Eukaryota; Metazoa; Chordata; Aves; Strigiformes; Tytonidae.